AUGAUAGGUGUGGGAAAGGAAGACAGGAGGUGUGGGCAUGGUAAGGGCGGAAGUGACGUCACUUUAGAAGCAACCGUGACUGUAGAUAGGUCACGGGACUGGCAGGGUCAACCUCCUUCUCUACUAGGCACCAUCUUUAGGGUGGUGGCUGACGCACUUUCAACAAUACACUAUAUUAUAACUAAUAAAAUAAGUCAGUUCCGAGAUUUAAAUACUAAACUAUAAAUAAACCUGACAGGUUAAAUAAGACAGUUGAAAACAUUAUGCAUUUAACAGCCCAUACAGCUGUCUCUAGAAACAUGUUCUUUAAAAUGAUGCAAGAUAAACUCACGGAAUUCAACCAAUUUCCCUUAUCAUCCUUCACAUACUAGCUUAACAACUUCGCAUAUUCCCUCUAUCCACAUUGCAUAGUUUUGCAACAAAUCACGCUUGCCUUUACACUUAACACGUCCAAAUAUUCCUCUAUUCUUGUAUCAGAUUCACUUACCUAACCUCCGUAAUCAACACUGAGCUACAUUCUUGUGUCUCCC
Molecule: non-coding RNA, 530 nt
Organism: Pelobates cultripes (western spadefoot toad)
Lineage: Eukaryota; Metazoa; Chordata; Amphibia; Anura; Pelobatidae
Source: the annotation of a GenBank genome assembly